AGCAGCCGCGGUAAUUCCAGCUCCAAUAGUGUAUAUUAAAGUUGUUGCAGUUAAAAAGCUCGUAGUUGAAUUUCGGGAUCAAUAUUUCGGUCAUGCCGUUGGUAUGCACUGUUAUCAUUGAUUUCUCACCUUCUAAAGAACCGUAAUGCCAUUAAUUUGGUGUUACGGGGAAUUAGGACUGUUACCUUGAAAAAAUUAGAGUGUUUAAAGCAGGCUCACGCUUGAAUACAUUAGCAUGGAAUAAUGAAAUAGGACAUCCGAUUCUAUUUUGUUGGUUUCUAAGAUUGACGUAAUGAUUAAUAGGGACAGUCGGGGGCAUCAGUAUUCAAUUGUCAGAGGUGAAAUUCUUGGAUGUAU
Molecule: ribosomal RNA, 357 nt
Filed under: uncultured Funneliformis
Lineage: Eukaryota; Fungi; Glomeromycota; Glomeromycetes; Glomerales; Glomeraceae
Description: SSU rRNA
Rfam family: Eukaryotic small subunit ribosomal RNA
Source: RNAcentral